This 715-nucleotide ribosomal RNA is filed under the name uncultured Caulobacteraceae bacterium. RNAcentral describes it as "bacterial SSU rRNA". It matches the Rfam family "Bacterial small subunit ribosomal RNA", at positions 28 to 776 of the family's 1533-position model. The record is from RNAcentral. Lineage: Bacteria; Pseudomonadati; Pseudomonadota; Alphaproteobacteria; Caulobacterales; Caulobacteraceae.
AGCGAACGCUGGCGGCAGGCCUAACACAUGCAAGUCGAACGAACUCUUCGGAGUUAGUGGCGGACGGGUGAGUAACACGUGGGAACGUGCCUUUAGGUUCGGAAUAACUCAGGGAAACUUGUGCUAAUACCGAAUGUGCCCCCCGAUUCAUUUUGGGGUGGGAAAGAUUUAUCGCCUUUAGAGCGGCCCGCGUCUGAUUAGCUAGUUGGUGAGGUAAAGGCUCACCAAGGCGACGAUCAGUAGCUGGUCUGAGAGGAUGAUCAGCCACAUUGGGACUGAGACACGGCCCAAACUCCUACGGGAGGCAGCAGUGGGGAAUCUUGCGCAAUGGGCGAAAGCCUGACGCAGCCAUGCCGCGUGAAUGAUGAAGGUCUUAGGAUUGUAAAAUUCUUCCACCGGGGACGAUAAUGACGGUACCCGGAGAAGAAGCCCCGGCUAACUUCGUGCCAGCAGCCGCGGUAAUACGAAGGGGGCUAGCGUUGCUCGGAAUUACUGGGCGUAAAGGGAGCGUAGGCGGACAUUUAAGUCAGGGGUGAAAUCCCGGGGCUCAACCUCGGAAUUGCCUUUGAUACUGGGUGUCUUGAGUAUGAGAGAGGUGUGUGGAACUUCCGAGUGUAGAGGUGAAAUUCCUAGAUAUUUCGGAUAACACCAUGGCGAAGAGCGACACACUGGCUCAUUACUGACGCUGAGGCUCUAAGCUUGGGGGGGCAACAUG